AGCGAACGCUGGCGGCAGGCCUAACACAUGCAAGUCGAACGAACUCUUCGGAGUUAGUGGCGGACGGGUGAGUAACACGUGGGAACGUGCCUUUUGGUUCGGAAUAACUCAGGGAAACUUGUGCUAAUACCGAAUGUGCCCUUCGGGGGAAAGAUUUAUCGCCAUUAGAGCGGCCCGCGUCUGAUUAGCUAGUUGGUGAGGUAACGGCUCACCAAGGCGACGAUCAGUAGCUGGUCUGAGAGGAUGACCAGCCACACUGGGACUGAGGCACGGCCCAGACUCCUACGGGAGGCAGCAGUGGGGAAUCUUGCGCAAUGGGCGAAAGCCUGACGCAGCCAUGCCGCGUGAAUGAUGGAGGUCUUAGGAUUGUAAAAUUCUUUCACCGGGGACGAUAAUGACGGUACCCGGAGAAGAAGCCCCGGCUAACUUCGUG
RNAcentral lists this ribosomal RNA (433 nucleotides) under uncultured bacterium. Its description in RNAcentral is "partial 16S ribosomal RNA". It matches the Rfam family "Bacterial small subunit ribosomal RNA", at positions 29 to 507 of the family's 1533-position model. The record is from RNAcentral.